GUUUGAAACGACAAAUGAGGACGAGGAAACGGAUACGGACUUUGUUGAACUUUGCAAACCACCGUUCAACCCCUCAGAGUCAGAAGAAAGAUCCAGAACCAAGCAGCAGCCAAGAGCCACAAGUCCAGAGUGGGAGAUGUUCAGAGGGAGCAGAUGCCACAUGUGGUCCAGCCGAUGGAAGGUCUUGAAGUUCUCUGACUGAAGAUGGUCCUCUGACUGGAUUUAAGGUUCAGAUGCUCAGGAACAAACUCCACCAAUGAGCCAACAGGGAAGCUUUAGGUUUAUUAAAUGUUGCUAUGAAGGUAUCGCUGUUUUUCUUUGUGAAUGCAA
Molecule: long non-coding RNA, 330 nt
Organism: Acanthochromis polyacanthus (spiny chromis)
Lineage: Eukaryota; Metazoa; Chordata; Actinopteri; Pomacentridae
Exons: 3
Source: RefSeq, a predicted model, not a curated record